RNAcentral lists this ribosomal RNA (443 nucleotides) under uncultured bacterium. RNAcentral's name for it is "partial 16S ribosomal RNA". It matches the Rfam family "Bacterial small subunit ribosomal RNA", at positions 338 to 795 of the family's 1533-position model. The record is from RNAcentral.
CCUACGGGAGGCAGCAGUGGGGAAUAUUGGGCAAUGGAGGCAACUCUGACCCAGCAACGCCGCGUGAAUGAUGAAGGUCUUCGGAUUGUAAAGUUCUGUGAUGGGGGAUGAACACAAUGACGGUACCCCAAUAGCAAGCCACGGCUAACUACGUGCCAGCAGCCGCGGUAAUACGUAGGUGGCAAGCGUUAUCCGGAAUGACUGGGCGUAAAGGGUGCGUAGGUGGUUUAGUAAGUUGGCGGUGUAAUUCCGGGGCUCAACCCUGGAACUGCAUUUGAAACUGUAGUUCUUGAGUGAUGGAGAGGCAGGCGGAAUUCCGUGUGUAGCGGUGAAAUGCGUAGAUAUACGGAGGAACACCAGUGGCGAAGGCGGCCUGCUGGACAUUAACUGACGCUGAAGCGCGAAAGCGUGGGGAGCAAACAGGAUUAGAUACCCCAGUAGUC